CAAUAGCGUAUAUUAAAGUUGUUGCGGUUAAAAAGCUCGUAGUUGGAUUUCUGCUGAGGACGAUCGGUCCGCCCACUGGGUGAGUAUCUGGCUCGGCCUUGGCAUCUUCUUGGAGAACGUUGCUGCACUUGACUGUGUGGUGCGGUAUCCAGGACUUUUACUUUGAGGAAAUUAGAGUGUUUCAAGCAGGCGCACGCCUUGAAUACAUUAGCAUGGAAUAAUAAGAUAGGACCUUGGUUCUAUUUUGUUGGUUUCUAGAGCUGAGGUAAUGAUUAAUAGGGAUAGUUGGGGGCAUUCGUAUUUAACUGUCAGAGGUGAAAUUCUUGGAUUUGUUAAAGACGGACUACUGCGAANGNAUUUGCNAAGGAUGUUUNCAUUG
This 379-nucleotide ribosomal RNA is filed under the name uncultured eukaryote. RNAcentral describes it as "partial 18S ribosomal RNA". It matches the Rfam family "Eukaryotic small subunit ribosomal RNA", at positions 592 to 975 of the family's 1831-position model. The record is from RNAcentral.